Molecule: ribosomal RNA, 448 nt
Filed under: uncultured bacterium
Lineage: Bacteria
Description: bacterial SSU rRNA
Rfam family: Bacterial small subunit ribosomal RNA
Source: RNAcentral
GAUGAACGCUGGCGGCGUGCUUAACACAUGCAAGUCGAACGGGAAAUACUUUAUUGAAACUUCGGUGGAUUUAAUUUAUUUCUAGUGGCGGACGGGUGAGUAACGCGUGGGUAACCUGCCUUAUACUGGGGGAUAACAGCCAGAAAUGACUGCUAAUACCGCAUAAGCGCACAGAACCGCAUGGUUCGGUGUGAAAAACUCCGGUGGUAUAAGAUGGACCCGCGUUGGAUUAGCUAGUUGGCAGGGCAGCGGCCUACCAAGGCGACGAUCCAUAGCCGGCCUGAGAGGGUGAACGGCCACAUUGGGACUGAGACACGGCCCAGACUCCUACGGGAGGCAGCAGUGGGGAAUAUUGCACAAUGGGGGAAACCCUGAUGCAGCGACGCCGCGUGAAGGAAGAAGUAUCUCGGUAUGUAAACUUCUAUCAGCAGGGAAGAUAAUGACGGUA